This 79-nucleotide small RNA is filed under the name Agarivorans albus MKT 106. RNAcentral's name for it is "Pseudomonas sRNA P9". It matches the Rfam family "Pseudomonas sRNA P9". Rfam says of the family: P9 appears to be conserved in several Pseudomonas species in addition to Bordetella spp. In both Pseudomonas and Bordetella spp P9 appears to be located upstream of a predicted threonine dehydratase gene. The record is from Rfam by way of RNAcentral. Lineage: Bacteria; Pseudomonadati; Pseudomonadota; Gammaproteobacteria; Alteromonadales; Alteromonadaceae.
CGAAUUAUUAUCAUUCCAUAGGAAUGGUGGGUUUGCUGAUGUGCUUAAAAUUUAGAAACCCGCCCUUGAGGCGGGUUUU